AAGUCGUAACAAGGUUUCCGUAGGUGAACCUGCGGAAGGAUCAUUAACACAACGUUAGUUGAGAGGUCUAAACAACUUCUUAACUAAUACACCAACCCGUGAACAUGUAUUUUCACUCUGCUUGUUGAUAUAAGUGGCUUUUAGGUGGGGUAGAUGUCCUCUUUCGGGAGAACAGGCCUAGAAGUCGUUUUACAUGCUUGUAUCAAUGAGUUAAAAGACUACCUUGAUCGCAGAAAUGUGGUCGAACCCCCUUUUUUUAACCCCUUUCACCCCAUAAGUUUAUAUUUGUCUUAUUGAUGUUUAAGUAGAAAUGCUUAAACGCCAUUAUAUCUAACGCGAACAACUCUUAGCAAUGGAUAUCUUGGCUCUG
RNAcentral lists this unclassified non-coding RNA (370 nucleotides) under fungal sp. RNAcentral describes it as "partial internal transcribed spacer region". The stretch from base 1 to 46 matches the Rfam family "Eukaryotic small subunit ribosomal RNA", at positions 1786 to 1831 of the family's 1831-position model. The record is from RNAcentral. Lineage: Eukaryota; Fungi.